GAUCCUGGCUCAGGAUGAACGCUGGCGGCGUGCCUAACACAUGCAAGUCGAACGAAGCACUGAGACUUCGGUUUUUGUGCUUAGUGGCGGACGGGUGAGUAACGCGUGAGCAAUCUGCCUUUCAGAGGGGGAUAACGAUUGGAAACGAUCGCUAAUACCGCAUAACGUAUUCGGACGGCAUCUUCUGAAUACCAAAGGAGCAAUCCGCUGAAAGAUGAGCUCGCGU
RNAcentral lists this ribosomal RNA (226 nucleotides) under uncultured bacterium. RNAcentral's name for it is "partial 16S ribosomal RNA". It matches the Rfam family "Bacterial small subunit ribosomal RNA", at positions 15 to 236 of the family's 1533-position model. The record is from RNAcentral.